This 260-nucleotide long non-coding RNA is filed under the name Lathyrus oleraceus (garden pea). RNAcentral describes it as "Pisum sativum (pea) long non-coding RNA (PSAT_LNC032945)". Lineage: Eukaryota; Viridiplantae; Streptophyta; Magnoliopsida; Fabales; Fabaceae. The record is from RNAcentral.
AAUUUAAGGCUAAAACAUAAUAAGAAUUCGAAUCGAUUUCCAUAUGCAGGAGACUUACGGUGUUAAGACGAUACCGAUCUUGUGAAUUUUUCCCAAGUCUCCGCAAACUAAUCUCAAAUUAUUCUAUAGCCCAAAACUUUCAACAAAAAUGCAAUUUUUUUUUAGAAAGAAAACAAAAACAAAACAAAACAAAGAACAAAAACAAAGAAAAUAAAGUAUUCCCUCCCCCACACUUAAAAUAUGCAUUGUCCUCAAUGAAA